CGGGUAGCGGAACACGUACAGAACUUCCUUUAAGCGGGGGAUAGCCCGGAGAAAUCCGGAUUAAUACCCCAUAGUAAUGUUGGGUGGCAUCACUUGAUAUUUAAAGAUUUAUCACUUAGAGAUGGCUGUGCGGCUGAUUAGGUAGUUGGCGGGGUAAAGGCCCACCAAGCCAUCGAUCAGUAACUGGUGUGAGAGCACGACCAGUCACACGGGCACUGAGACACGGGCCCG
Molecule: ribosomal RNA, 231 nt
Filed under: uncultured bacterium
Lineage: Bacteria
Description: partial 16S ribosomal RNA
Rfam family: Bacterial small subunit ribosomal RNA
Source: RNAcentral